AAACAGUGCAAAAAGUGAGGCUGGGCAGCCCGAGCCUGCAGGGUUGGAGCUCAGAGCUAUCUCAGGAGGUGCAGUAUGGAGGUGCCCACCUGCAACCCAUUCACCUGGGGCAACGCUCAGAACAAAGGUGGUGGCCGCCCCUCCCCUCCCAGCACAGCUCUCCCAUAGCCCAGCAGGGCUGUGUGUGGCACAGGGCCGUUCCCCUCGCUGCCGUCCCACCGCACACCCAGAG
This 232-nucleotide long non-coding RNA is filed under the name Gallus gallus (chicken). The record is from RNAcentral. Lineage: Eukaryota; Metazoa; Chordata; Aves; Galliformes; Phasianidae.